CUUUGGCUUCCAGAAGUGGACUCCAGGUAGAAACACAAAAGCUGUUUGCAGUCUACCAACAGGUUGACUGCCACUGUCUUGAUAUGGGCUCUUUCCUUUACAGGGAAUCACAAAUGCUUCCAACUUAAAGGUGCAAGGCGCUGCUUACAGCCAGAUUUUGUGGAGCUUAUGAUCCAUGGCAUGAUGGCAGCUUCCUGUAAGGCAGUACAUGGCCACAUCCCAGAACUGGAAAAACAUCUUCCCCCAUGGAAAGGUCUGGUUUGUCUUGAUCUUAGAGUCCACCCCCAGAAGCGGUUCUCCACCUUACAGACAAGGCUCCAGCACCGCCCACCUCUACAGCCUUCACCUGACUGCAAAACCUUCACCCCUGCAAAACCAUGGGUAUUGGGUUCCUGGGCCUCACACACCAACACCAAGGUUAAAUCCAUUAAUACUGGGAGGUCUAAUCAGAAUGCAUGAUGUGCUACACAAAUGGCCAGGCUUGAAUAAUUUGUCAACAUAUUUGUCAUUUCUCAUCUUUUUAAACAUGCUGCACGUUCAGGCAUUUGAAUUCUAGCCUGGUGGUCUAAGAAGUGGUCAUAUAUAAGAGAUGAAAUUUUGAAGAAAAGAGUUCCAGUUCACUGAAGAAUUCAAACACAUGCUUUGAUUGACAGUGCAAAUGGUAAUAUUUUUUGCCUUCAUUGUAAACCUAUUAUUUAAUUUAUCUGUUAGAGUUUUAUUCUUUUUUUAACAGAGUACUAGUGACUAUAAAGUUUAAUUGACCUUUUCGCCAAUAAAUACAUCAUUGCUGGUUUCA
Molecule: long non-coding RNA, 796 nt
Filed under: Anas platyrhynchos platyrhynchos (common mallard)
Lineage: Eukaryota; Metazoa; Chordata; Aves; Anseriformes; Anatidae
Description: lncRNA (ENSAPLG00000017675.1)
Source: RNAcentral